This 440-nucleotide ribosomal RNA is filed under the name uncultured bacterium. Its description in RNAcentral is "partial 16S ribosomal RNA". It matches the Rfam family "Bacterial small subunit ribosomal RNA", at positions 338 to 795 of the family's 1533-position model. The record is from RNAcentral.
CCUACGGGUGGCUGCAGUAGGGAAUAUUGCUCAAUGGGGGAAACCCUGAAGCAGCAACGCCGCGUGGAGGAUGAAGGUUUUCGGAUUGUAAACUCCUUUUGUUAGAGAAGAUAAUGACGGUAUCUAACGAAUAAGCACCGGCUAACUCCGUGCCAGCAGCCGCGGUAAUACGGAGGGUGCAAGCGUUACUCGGAAUCACUGGGCGUAAAGAGCGCGUAGGCGGGAUAGCAAGUCAGAUGUGAAAUCCUAUGGCUUAACCAUAGAACUGCAUUUGAAACUGUUAUUCUAGAGUAUGGUGGAGGUAGGUGGAAGUCGUGGUGUAGGGGUAUAAUGCGUAGAGAGCACGAAGAACUCGGAUUGCGAAGGCGGCCUGCUAAAAUGCCACGGACAUUGAUGCUCGAAAGUGUGGGUGUCAAACAGGAGUAGAGACCCGAGUAGUG